RNAcentral lists this ribosomal RNA (489 nucleotides) under uncultured bacterium. Its description in RNAcentral is "partial 16S ribosomal RNA". It matches the Rfam family "Bacterial small subunit ribosomal RNA", at positions 30 to 507 of the family's 1533-position model. The record is from RNAcentral.
UUGCACGCUGGCGGCAGGCCUAACACAUGCAAGUCGAACGGUAACAGGAAGCAGCUUGCUGCUUCGCUGACGAGUGGCGGACGGGUGAGUAAUGUCUGGGAAGCUGCCUGAUGGAGGGGGAUAACUACUGGAAACGGUAGCUAAUACCGCAUAAUGUCGCAAGACCAAAGAGGGGGACCUUCGGGCCUCUUGCCAUCGGAUGUGCCCAGAUGGGAUUAGCUUGUUGGUGGGGUAACGGCUCACCAAGGCGACGAUCCCUAGCUGGUCUGAGAGGAUGACCAGCCACACUGGGACUGAGACACGGUCCAGACUCCUACGGGAGGCAGCAGUGGGGAAUAUUGCACAAUGGGCGCAAGCCUGAUGCAGCCAUGCCGCGUGUAUGAAGAAGGCCUUCGGGUUGUAAAGUACUUUCAGCGGGGAGGAAGGGAGUAAAGUUAAUACCUUUGCUCAUUGACGUUACCCGCAGAAGAAGCACCGGCUAACUCCGUG